AUCCAGCUGACGAGUCCCGAAUGGGAUGAAACGCGCGUCCUGGAU
Molecule: non-coding RNA, 45 nt
Organism: Schistosoma haematobium
Lineage: Eukaryota; Metazoa; Platyhelminthes; Trematoda; Strigeidida; Schistosomatidae
Source: Rfam